GCUUUGGUGGCCUAGUGGUUAGAGUGUCCACCUCGGAUGCAGGAGGUCAUGAGUUUGAUCCCCAGCUGAGUCA
Potamilus streckersoni is the source of this 73-nucleotide non-coding RNA. The record is from the annotation of a GenBank genome assembly. Lineage: Eukaryota; Metazoa; Mollusca; Bivalvia; Unionida; Unionidae.